Molecule: long non-coding RNA, 279 nt
Filed under: Homo sapiens (human)
Lineage: Eukaryota; Metazoa; Chordata; Mammalia; Primates; Hominidae
Description: HSALNT0306905
Source: RNAcentral
CACGAACCCAGACCAACUCCGGACACAUCUGAACAUCUGAAGUUCCCUGGUAUGACUUAGCUGAUAGCUCAUCCUUCACAAGAAUGCUUACAUGAAUGGCACCCGAGUUGGAAGGAAAAAAGAUCCAGUGGAUCAUUUCAGAAUUUAGUUUGGCUCUCCCCACACAGGAUUUAACCAGGCUGACAGAUUCAGCACAGGAAAGUAUUUUAAUGUAAUGAUAUACCACCACUUCUAGACCCAAUGACAAGAUGAAAAUCCAAGAGCAGGCAUAAAACACCU